CAGCAGCCGCGGGAAUACGAAGGUCCCGAGCGUUGUUCGGAAUCACUGGGCGUAAAGGGAGCGUAGGCGGCGUGGUAAGUCAGAUGUGAAAUCCCCGGGCUCAACCUGGGAACUGCAUUAGUGACUGCAUCGCUGGAGUGCGGCAGAGGGGGAUGGAAUUCCGCGUGUAGCGGUGAAAUGCGUAGAUAUGCGGAGGAACACCGAUGGCGAAGGCAAUCCCCUGGGCCUGCACUGACGCUCAUGCACGAAAGCGUGGGGAGCAAACAGGAUUAGAUACCCCUGUAGUCCCUGUCUCUUAUAC
This 301-nucleotide ribosomal RNA is filed under the name uncultured bacterium. RNAcentral's name for it is "partial 16S ribosomal RNA". It matches the Rfam family "Bacterial small subunit ribosomal RNA", at positions 509 to 807 of the family's 1533-position model. The record is from RNAcentral.